UGGGGAAUUUUCCGCAAUGGGCGAAAGCCUGACGGAGCAAUACCGCGUGAGGGAGGAAGGUUCUUGGAUUGUAAACCUCUUUUCUUAGGGAAGAAGAAAGUGACGGUACCUAAGGAAUAAGCAUCGGCUAACUCCGUGCCAGCAGCCGCGGUAAUACGGAGGAUGCAAGCGUUAUCCGGAAUUAUUGGGCGUAAAGAGUCCGUAGGUGGGAGUUCAAGUCUGCUGUCAAAGAGUGUAGCUUAACUACAUAAAGGCGGUGGAAACUGAGCAACUAGAGUGAGGUAGGGGUAACGGGAAUUCCCAGUGUAGCGGUGAAAUGCGUAGAUAUUGGGAAGAACAUCGGUGGCGAAAGCGCGUUACUGGGCCUAAACUGACACUGAGGGACGAAAGCUAGGGUAGC
This 400-nucleotide ribosomal RNA is filed under the name uncultured bacterium. RNAcentral describes it as "bacterial SSU rRNA". It matches the Rfam family "Bacterial small subunit ribosomal RNA", at positions 355 to 769 of the family's 1533-position model. The record is from RNAcentral.